GGGGAAUAUUGCACAAUGGGCGCAAGCCUGAUGCAGCAACGCCGCGUGCGGGAUGACGGCCUUCGGGUUGUAAACCGCUUUCAGCAGGGACGAAGCGCAAGUGACGGUACCUGCAGAAGAAGCACCGGCCAACUACGUGCCAGCAGCCGCGGUGAUACGUAGGGUGCAAGCGUUGUCCGGAGUUAUUGGGCGUAAAGAGCUUGUAGGCGGUCUGUUGCGUCGAAAGUGAAAACUCAGGGCUUAACCCUGAGCCUGCUUUCGAUACGGGCAGACUAGAGGAAGGUAGGGGAGAACGGAAUUCCUGGUGGAGCGGUGGAAUGCGCAGAUAUCAGGAGGAACACCGGUGGCGAAGGCGGUUCUCUGGACCUUUCCUGACGCUGAGAAGCGAAAGCGUGGGGAGCAAACA
Molecule: ribosomal RNA, 406 nt
Filed under: uncultured Propionibacteriaceae bacterium
Lineage: Bacteria; Bacillati; Actinomycetota; Actinomycetes; Propionibacteriales; Propionibacteriaceae
Description: bacterial SSU rRNA
Rfam family: Bacterial small subunit ribosomal RNA
Source: RNAcentral